Molecule: non-coding RNA, 3007 nt
Organism: Tetranychus urticae (two-spotted spider mite)
Lineage: Eukaryota; Metazoa; Arthropoda; Arachnida; Trombidiformes; Tetranychidae
Source: RefSeq, a predicted model, not a curated record
CUGUUUUUGUUGACUCAGGUUUCCUUGAGCAACAAGUAACCGACCAAGUAAUAUCCGUUUGUUGGGAAUAUCUAUAAAGCAAGACUCUAAAGGCUGCAUCUAAAAAAGCAAUUGGACGCAAUUGUUGUUUAUUAAUGUAAUCCACUAUCGAUUUACUUAAUUUGGGAUUUAAAAUUUUCUUUAAAGAAUUGGAUUUAACAGUUAAAGACAAAUCUUGGUUAAUGUAAUCAACUGGAAGAUUAACCAAAGCAAGACCAGACAGUUUCUGUUUCCACCAAGCAACAGCUUUUUCAUUUUGACCAAUCACGUCACAACCUUUAAGCUUACAAUUAUCCAUAAUUUUUGCUCGUAAAAUAGAUUUUACUGAAAAAAAAAGUGAAAUUGCUUGAUCAAUAGUCAACUGUUUUUAGUCUACAAUUUAAACAAACUAACAAAUAUGAUUAAAAGUGGAAUCAAGAUUGACCAAAAUUAUCGAUGCCAAUUUUACGGUCACCAUUUGUUUAUAAAAUUUCCUGAACUGAUCAGAUACAGUGGAUUUGUGCAAUCAAAUCAGUUCCAGAUUAUGGAUGAUGGACGACUUUUACCCAUUUUCAGGUUCACCUAUACUUAAUGUGCCAUCAAUUUAAUAAAAGUUACAACUGGAUGAUUUGUGAGCUUUAAGGAUAUUCACAAACAUAUUUUAUACCCAAACCCAAAGGAGUAUAAACUACAAUUUGCUGAUCAUGUAACAAUAGAUGAUAAUGUUUUCCAGGAAAAUCUAUUUUCUGGUUAAUUUGUUGAAAUAUGCUGUUACAACCAGUUGCUUUCAAAACAUCAACAUCGAUGAUCCAAAGGAACGUCAACUUGCAACUGGGCAAAUUUAUCUGAUUGUUACCAUUUGGAUAAUCUUGAUUGGCUUUGCUUUUUUCAUACUUCACCGAUGCUUCUUUGAAUCAUCACCUACAUCUUCAAUUAACCGGAAUGAAGAGGCUUCCACCAAAACAUCGGAUGGUCCAAGCAGUCAAGCCAAACCAGAGACGAGUUCAAAUCUUAAAAUCUUGAAAUCAAACAAAGCUUCAGAGAGCGUACAAAAUUUCCCUUCAAAGGCAACAAUGGAUUCAAGUGUUGCCGACACAUUUAAAAGGAUAUCAAAAGGUAACCCUAAAACUGACGCUAAAGGUUUGACUUCACCAAAAGAGCGCCCACUUAAUAUCGAAAGCCAUUCAAGUGAAGAUGUAAAACUCAAGAUUAUUGAUGAAACGAAGGUGAAUUCAAAAGGAAAUUAAAGAAUCAAAAGAAAAUCAAAAUUAAAUCAAGAUUAAAUCAAAAUGUACCCAAAGUGUUGCUUUUAAAUGUGAAAACAAAAGGAACCCAUUUUUACAAGUGAAAUUUGAGAGUUUAAUUUCAACCGAAUUUUACAUUUCAAUUAUUGAUUACAGAAUGAUUUUCAAUGUUUAAGGAUCAAUUAGGUAAAUUGUUGGCAAGCAAAAGACUGUUGAUGUUUAUUACAAUGAUAAUUUGGAUAAAUUGAUUUUCUUUCUUCUGUUUCUUCAUUUAUUUGCAUAUCAAUGUAUAUGAUUUGAGAUGAAUGGAGGAAGAAAAAUUUACACAAUUAAAAGCACAAUUAAAGGUUAAAGUUGAGUAUUGAAGGAAUCAUUUGUUUGAUUGUUUGCAUUAAAUCAUGAUAUAAUAGUGAUAAUACUCUUGGAUUAUCAAGUGAAACAGGGAAAGAAAAACAAAAGAAAUUGAAUUGAGCUCAAAGACAGAAAUGAAUGUUGGAAUGAAAAAUUGUAAAAUAAAAGGGAAAAUUUGAAUCACAUUUAUUAAUCAAAUGAUUGACAUAGCGUUUAAAGGUUAUAAUUGAUUCAUGAUUUGCGUUUUUUUGAUUAAAAUUGAAACAAAUGAUUGCACUCUUUACAUGUUAAUUUAUCGCAGGCUUAGCUAAGAAGAUUUCAAUUGUUGAUUUGAAUCAAAAAAGAGAGAAAUGUUCAAUGGAUUACAAUAACGAUUGGAAGGUUUUUUUUUCAUUGAUUUUAAUUGUGAUUGGAAAUGAAGAAAUAAGCAAAAACUUUGAUGUUAAUUGUUUCGAUGACAAUGUUGUUAAGGAACUCUAAAUGGUACAAUGUUGUUGGGUUAUUUGGAAACGAUUAAUCAACAAUAAUCAACAUUAUUGCAAGAUUUGUGUAGCUUACAAUCAUUUGUGUGUUUUUCAUGCGUUUUAAAUCUAAAUAAUCCUGACUUUGGAUCUAAACUAUCGUUAAUGAUAAUAUUGUAUUGCAAUGAAUUAAUUUGAAUGCAUUCAAUUGAGUAAAAUAAGGUAAAAGGUAAAAUUUGUUAAAUCUCAAGAUCCAUUGGGUUGAUGGAUUGCAAACGGUUAAACUGUUUCUUAAAGAGGCCUUUAGGAAGGUUUAACAUUUGAUUAUUGUUUUAAACUAAUUGAAACAAUUAUUACUUUUAAUCUGUAAGCUGAGCUUUUGAUUAAGAUUGUUAUUUACAUUUUAUUGUCUCAAUAAAUUAAAAUAAAAAGCAAGCGAUGAGAAGCUAAAAGUCAUUCAAUUAGUUUGGGUUAACAUGAAGAUUUGGGUUUGUGUUUGGCUUCAAGAUUUAAGUUAAACUUUUGGUUGACUUGAAGAUGAGUCGAGUUUUAAUGAUUACAGUUGAUUGUGAUUUUUGUUGCUUUCUUUUAGUUGAAUUACAAUUCUUGAUUCUCGUCUUUUCUCGAUGCUUUUUGCUUUCCAUUGAUCAUCUAUUAUAAGUAAUUUGUUCAAUGUCGACGAUGAUUAUGAUUAUAAUGAUUAUGUUAAACUGUUAUGAUUUUGAUCCUUUUAUAUGAUUGAUUUGGAUUCCUUUAUUUUGGUGUGUUUGUCAUCUCAUCCAUUUUGUGUGUGAUGUGUGUUUGGAUGCAUGUGUAUGUUUGGGUAUUUAUCUAACCCUGAUUAACAAUAAUCUAUUGAAUAGGUUUAACAGGUGUCAAUGGAUCAAUCAUGAUGAUGCUGAUGAAAACACAUGUUGAUUGUGAAAUGAAAAG